This 305-nucleotide ribosomal RNA is filed under the name uncultured bacterium. RNAcentral describes it as "bacterial SSU rRNA". It matches the Rfam family "Bacterial small subunit ribosomal RNA", at positions 335 to 637 of the family's 1533-position model. The record is from RNAcentral.
UGUCCUACGGGGGGCAGCAGUGAGGAAUAUUGGUCAAUGGGCGGGAGCCUGAACCAGCCAAGUCGCGUGAGGGAAGACGGUCCUAUGGAUUGUAAACCUCUUUUGCCGGGGAGCAACGGGCGCCACGUGUGGCGCCACUGAGAGUACCCGGAGAAAAAGCAUCGGCUAACUCCGUGCCAGCAGCCGCGGUAAUACGGAGGAUGCGAGCGUUAUCCGGAUUUAUUGGGUUUAAAGGGUGCGUAGGCGGAUCGUUAAGUCAGUGGUCAAAUUGAGGGGCUCAACCCCUUCCCGCCAUUGAAACUGGG